GGGCACCUUCGGGGGCCUAUAACAGCGGUGGGCCUUACACCCACCCGAUAUAGCGGGCCCAAGGGCGCGCAUUUGCAAACGGAAGACAGAAA
RNAcentral lists this non-coding RNA (92 nucleotides) under unclassified sequences. RNAcentral's name for it is "L2-Alphaproteobacteria ribosomal protein leader". It matches the Rfam family "L2-Alphaproteobacteria ribosomal protein leader". The record is from RNAcentral.